RNAcentral lists this ribosomal RNA (430 nucleotides) under uncultured bacterium. Its description in RNAcentral is "partial 16S ribosomal RNA". It matches the Rfam family "Bacterial small subunit ribosomal RNA", at positions 29 to 507 of the family's 1533-position model. The record is from RNAcentral.
AACGAACGCUGGCGGCAGGCCUAACACAUGCAAGUCGAACGCCCCGCAAGGGGAGUGGCCGACGGGUGAGUAACACGUGGGAACCUUCCCUAUAGUACGGAAUAGCCCAGGGAAACUUGGAGUAAUACCGUAUACGCCCGAAAGGGGAAAGAAUUUCGCUAUAGGAUGGGCCCGCGUAGGAUUAGCUAGUUGGGGAGGUAAUGGCUCGCCAAGGCGACGAUCCUUAGCUGGUUUGAGAGAACGACCAGCCACACUGGGACUGAGACACGGCCCAGACUCCUACGGGAGGCAGCAGUGGGGAAUAUUGGACAAUGGGCGCAAGCCUGAUCCAGCCAUGCCGCGUGAGUGAUGAAGGCCUUAGGGUUGUAAAGCUCUUUUGGCGGGGACGAUAAUGACGGUACCCGCAGAAUAAGUCCCGGCUAACUUCGUG